AUGGAGAACAGUGGGAAGAUCGUCAUGGGGAGGUAUGAGCUGGGGAGAUUGUUAGGGAAAGGAGCAUUUGGCAAGGUGCACUACGCCAAGAACCUGGAGUCAAACCGAGGUGUCGCCAUAAAGAUUUUGGACAAGGAGAAGGUGCUCAAGGUUGGGCUCGCGGAGCAGGUCAGGCGUGAGAUCACAACCAUGCGGUUGGUAACGCACAAAAGCAUUGUUCAGCUCCAUGAGGUCAUGGCGACACGAAGCAAGAUCUACUUCGUCAUGGAGUACAUGAAAGGCGGUGAGCUCUUUGACAAGGUUUCCAAGGCUGGCAAGCUCACCGAGGGUGCUGCACACAAGUAUUUCCAGCAGCUCAUCAGUGCAGUGGAUUACUGCCACAGCCGAGGCGUGUAUCACCGGGACUUGAAGCCUGAGAACCUACUCCUUGAUGGGAAUGAAAACCUGAAGGUUUCUGAUUUUGGGCUGAGUGCACUUUCAGAAUCGAAGAGGCAAGAUGGCUUGCUCCACACCACCUGUGGAUCGCCUGCAUAUGUGGCUCCAGAGGUGAUCAGCAAGGGAGGCUAUGAUGGUGCAAAAUCAGAUAUCUGGUCUUGCGGUGUCAUCCUGUUUGUUCUUGUUGCUGGUUACCUCCCUUUCCAAGGUCAGAACUUGAUAGAGAUGUACCGGAAGAUUGAGAAAGGCGAUUUCAGGUGCCCCGGUUGGGUUUCCCAAAAACUUCAGAAGCUGUUGUACAAGAUCAUGGACCCUGAUCCGAACAAGAGGAUAUCGAUCCAGAAGAUAAAGGAGUCAACCUGGUUCCGGAAAGGUCCCGGGGAGAACCUUACAGCGAAGGAGAGACUGCCAAGUGAUGCUGCUCCAACACUUGGUGUGAAGCGCAGGAAGAACAGCCAUGAAGAUGCGAAGCCCUUGGCGGUGACAAAUUUAAAUGCCUUUGAAAUCAUCUCUUUCUCCACAGGGUUUGACCUCUCUGGCCUAUUCGUCGAGAAGGAGAGCAAAAAGGAAGCAAGGUUCGCUUCAGAACAGCCUGCCUCAGCCAUUGUCUCAAAGCUGGAAGCCGUCGCAAAGACCCUGAAUCUCAGGGUGAGGAAGAAGGAUAAUGGUGUCGUCAAGAUGCAAGUGAGGAAGGAAGGCAGGAAUGGUGUUCUUCAGUUUGACUCGGAGAUCUUUGAGAUCAGCCCCUCGUACCAUCUCAUUGAGAUGAAACAAACAAGCGGUGAUUCACUGGAGUACCAGAAGUUAUUGGAGGAGGGCAUCCGGCCAGCACUGAAGGACAUUUGUCUGGGCAUGGCAUGGGGCUGA
RNAcentral lists this ribosomal RNA (1302 nucleotides) under Triticum aestivum (bread wheat). RNAcentral's name for it is "partial small subunit ribosomal RNA". Lineage: Eukaryota; Viridiplantae; Streptophyta; Magnoliopsida; Poales; Poaceae. The record is from RNAcentral.